RNAcentral lists this ribosomal RNA (465 nucleotides) under uncultured Klebsiella sp. RNAcentral's name for it is "bacterial SSU rRNA". It matches the Rfam family "Bacterial small subunit ribosomal RNA", at positions 338 to 795 of the family's 1533-position model. Lineage: Bacteria; Pseudomonadati; Pseudomonadota; Gammaproteobacteria; Enterobacterales; Enterobacteriaceae. The record is from RNAcentral.
CCUACGGGAGGCAGCAGUGGGGAAUAUUGCACAAUGGGCGCAAGCCUGAUGCAGCCAUGCCGCGUGUGUGAAGAAGGCCUUCGGGUUGUAAAGCACUUUCAGCGGGGAGGAAGGCGUUAAGGUUAAUAACCUUGGCGAUUGACGUUACCCGCAGAAGAAGCACCGGCUAACUCCGUGCCAGCAGCCGCGCUAAUACGGAGGGUGCAAGCGUUAAUCGGAAUUACUAGGCGUAAAGCGCACGCAGGCGGUCUGUCAAGUCGGAUGUGAAAUCCCCGGGCUCAACCUGGGAACUGCAUUCGAAACUGGCAGGCUAGAGUCUUGUAGAGGGGGGUAGAAUUCCAGGUGUAGCGGUGAAAUGCGUAGAGAUCUGGAGGAAUACCGGUGGCGAAGGCGGCCCCCUGGACAAAGACUGACGCUCAGGUGCGAAAGCGUGGGGAGCAAACAGGAUUAGAUACCCUAGUAGUC